RNAcentral lists this ribosomal RNA (465 nucleotides) under Vreelandella stevensii. RNAcentral's name for it is "partial 16S ribosomal RNA". It matches the Rfam family "Bacterial small subunit ribosomal RNA", at positions 338 to 795 of the family's 1533-position model. Lineage: Bacteria; Pseudomonadati; Pseudomonadota; Gammaproteobacteria; Oceanospirillales; Halomonadaceae. The record is from RNAcentral.
CCUACGGGGGGCAGCAGUGGGGUAUAUUGGACAAUGGGGGCAACCCUGAUCCAGCCAUGCCGCGUGUGUGAAGAAGGCCCUCGGGUUGUAAAGCACUUUCAGUGAGGAAGAACGCCUGGUGGUUAAUACCCAUCAGGAAAGACAUCACUCACAGAAGAAGCACCGGCUAACUCCGUGCCAGCAGCCGCGGUAAUACGGAGGGUGCGAGCGUUAAUCGGAAUUACUGGGCGUAAAGCGCGCGUAGGUGGCUUGAUAAGCCGGUUGUGAAAGCCCCGGGCUCAACCUGGGAACGGCAUCCGGAACUGUCAAGCUAGAGUGCAGGAGAGGAAGGUAGAAUUCCCGGUGUAGCGGUGAAAUGCGUAGAGAUCGGGAGGAAUACCAGUGGCGAAGGCGGCCUUCUGGACUGACACUGACACUGAGGUGCGAAAGCGUGGGUAGCAAACAGGAUUAGAUACCCGUGUAGUC